CAAUUGCUUAUAACCUUUUGGUUAUAAAUAAUUGUUAGUGGCAGACGGGUGAGUAAUGCGUAGGAAUCUACCUAGUAGUAUGGAAUAGCCAUUAGAAAUGAUGGGUAAUACUGUAUAAUCCCUGAGGGGGAAAGAUUUAUCGCUAUUAGAUGAGCCUACAUUAGAUUAGCUAGUUGGUAAGGUAAUGGCUUACCAAGGCUAUGAUCUAUAGCUGGUCUGAGAGGACGAUCAGCCACACUGGAACUGAGAUACGGUCCAGACUCCUACGGGAGGCAGCAGUGGGGAAUAUUGGACAAUGGGCGAAAGCCUGAUCCAGCUAUGCCGCGUGAGUGAAGAAGGCCUUCGGGUUGUAAAGCUCUUUCAAUAGGGAAGAUAAUGACGGUACCUAUA
This 390-nucleotide ribosomal RNA is filed under the name Ehrlichia chaffeensis. RNAcentral's name for it is "bacterial SSU rRNA". It matches the Rfam family "Bacterial small subunit ribosomal RNA", at positions 64 to 483 of the family's 1533-position model. RNAcentral also lists the same sequence under 1 other name. Lineage: Bacteria; Pseudomonadati; Pseudomonadota; Alphaproteobacteria; Rickettsiales; Anaplasmataceae. The record is from RNAcentral.